This 433-nucleotide ribosomal RNA is filed under the name uncultured bacterium. Its description in RNAcentral is "partial 16S ribosomal RNA". It matches the Rfam family "Bacterial small subunit ribosomal RNA", at positions 29 to 507 of the family's 1533-position model. The record is from RNAcentral.
AACGAACGCUGGCGGCAGGCCUAACACAUGCAAGUCGAGCGAGGACUUCGGUCCUAGCGGCGGACGGGUGAGUAAAGCGUGGGAACGUGCCCUUUGAUUCGGAAUAGCCCUGGGACACUGGGAGUAAUACCGGAUGAGCCAUUCGGGGGACAGAUUUAUCGGCGUAGGAUCGGCACGCGUUGGAUUAGGUAGUUGGUGGGGUAAUGGCCUAUCACGGCGUCGCUCCUUAGCUGGGUUGAGAGGCUGAUAAGCCACACUGGGACUGGGACACGGCCCGGACUCCUACGGGAUGCAGCAGUGGGUAAUCUUAGACAACCGGGUAAAUCCUGAUCGAGCCAUGCCUCUUGAGCGAUGAUGGUCUGAGAGUAGUAAAGCACUUUCAUCUGGGAAUAUAAUGACGGUACCAGAAGAAGAAGCCCCGGCUAACUCCGUG